AGAGUUUGAUCCUGGCUCAGAGCGAACGCUGGCGGCAGGCUUAACACAUGCAAGUCGAGCGGGCGUAGCAAUACGUCAGCGGCAGACGGGUGAGUAACGCGUGGGAACGUACCUUUUGGUUCGGAACAACACAGGGAAACUUGUGCUAAUACCGGAUAAGCCCUUACGGGGAAAGAUUUAUCGCCAAAAGAUCGGCCCGCGUCUGAUUAGCUAGUUGGUGAGGUAACGGCUCACCAAGGCGACGAUCAGUAGCUGGUCUGAGAGGAUGAUCAGCCACAUUGGGACUGAGGCACGGCCCAAACUCCUACGGGAGGCAGCAGUGGGGAAUAUUGGACAAUGGGCGCAAGCCUGAUCCAGCCAUGCCGCGUGAGUGAUGAAGGCCCUAGGGUUGUAAAGCUCUUUUGUGCGGGAAGAUAAUGACGGUACCGCAAGAAUAAGCCCCGGCUAACUUCGUGCCAGCAGCCGCGGUAAUA
RNAcentral lists this ribosomal RNA (473 nucleotides) under uncultured bacterium. RNAcentral's name for it is "bacterial SSU rRNA". It matches the Rfam family "Bacterial small subunit ribosomal RNA", at positions 8 to 525 of the family's 1533-position model. The record is from RNAcentral.